UGGCUCCAGGUAAGGGGGGAGGUCUCCCGCAGGGCCCUCAGGCAUGGACACCCAGACACGGCGGGGGGGGAGCAAAGGCGACAGCGACUCCAGGCAUGAGCCUGGCCCUUCCCAUGGAUCGCCCCAGCUAUGGCUGGCAUCGUGGCCACCCUCGAGGAGCCCUGCGGGAGGCCGGUCACGCUGGGGGUUGCAUUGGGGUUCGCCCCCAUUGCUGCUCCUGACCACACACACAGGUCUUCCCCUGCCAGGGCCAUCUCCGGGGCAGCGGUUCCAUGUGGCUCCUCACCCUGCCUGGCACCUAGCAGCCAACUUAGAGCUAGUGCGGACCAGGGGAAUCUGACUGUUUAAAACAAAGCAUCGCGAAGGCCCGCGGCGGGUGUUGUCGAGAUGUGAUUUCUGCCCAGUGCUCUGAAUGUCAAAGUGAAGAAAUUCAAUGAAGUGCGGGUAAACGGCGGCAGUAAUUAUGACUCUCUUAAGGUAGCCAAAUGCCUCAUCAUCUAGUGAUGCACAUGAAUGGUUGAACCAGAUUCCCACUGUCCCUACCUCCUAUCCAGCCAAACCACAGCCAAGAGAUCAGGCUUGG
Molecule: non-coding RNA, 583 nt
Filed under: Myotis lucifugus (little brown bat)
Lineage: Eukaryota; Metazoa; Chordata; Mammalia; Chiroptera; Vespertilionidae
Description: Eukaryotic large subunit ribosomal RNA
Rfam family: Eukaryotic large subunit ribosomal RNA
Source: Rfam by way of RNAcentral